Molecule: ribosomal RNA, 497 nt
Filed under: uncultured bacterium
Lineage: Bacteria
Description: partial 16S ribosomal RNA
Rfam family: Bacterial small subunit ribosomal RNA
Source: RNAcentral
GAUGAACGCUGGCGGCGUGCCUAAUACAUGCAAGUCGAGCGAACAGAUGAGGAGCUUGCUCCUCUGACGUUAGCGGCGGACGGGUGAGUAACACGUGGAUAACCUACCUAUAUGACUGGGAUAACUUCGGGAAACCGGAGAUAAUACCGGAUAAUAUAUUGAACCGCAUGGUUCAAUAGUGAAAGACGGUUUUGCUGUCUCUUAUAGAUGGAUCCGCGCCGCAUUAGCUAGUUGGUAAGGUAACGGCUUACCAAGGCAACGAUGCGUAGCCGACCUGAGAGGGUGAUCGGCCACACUGGAACUGAGACACGGUCCAGACUCCUACGGGAGGCAGCAGUAGGGAAUCUUCCGCAAUGGGCGAAAGCCUGACGGAGCAACGCCGCGUGAGUGAUGAAGGUCUUCGGAUCGUAAAACUCUGUUAUUAGGGAAGAACAAAUGUGUAAGUAACUAUGCACGUCUUGACGGUACCUAAUCAGAAAGCCACGGCUAACUACGUG